This is a long non-coding RNA of Aethalodelphis obliquidens (Pacific white-sided dolphin), 372 nucleotides long. RefSeq lists it as uncharacterized. The transcript is spliced from 3 exons. NCBI's taxonomy places the organism in Eukaryota, Metazoa, Chordata, Mammalia, Artiodactyla, Delphinidae. The record is from RefSeq and is a predicted model, not a curated record.
CUCGGGCAGGGCCAGGCCGCAGCAGCGGAGGGGGCGCGGAGAAGCGCAGGCCCUGCCCGGCCCAGGCAGCUAGCGCCGGGGGAACAACGCGACGCGAAGCUGGACGGCCCAGAGGAAGCCGCCCGUGGCCAGACCGGGCCUGCAGGCCGAGACGCGGUGCCGCAGCGUCUCCCCGUCACGUCUGGGCACGCACCUCCUGGCGCCAGGGGCGCUCCGUCCCGCCCUCCGCAAAGGAUUCGCUUUGGAACGGGUUUUGGGGUGUGCCUGCUUCCUCCUCUCGGUCAGGAGAGGCUCAGUAACUGACAAGGGAUGAAAAAAACCUAUUGGGACUUACCCGGUGGCGCAGUGGUUAAGAAUCCGCCUGCCAAUGCA